GUCGAGGUAGCUCAGUUGGUAGAGCGAGGGACUGAAAAUCCCUGCGUCGCGGGUUCAAGUCCCGCCCUUGACACCA
This 76-nucleotide transfer RNA is filed under the name Pseudomonadota bacterium. Its description in RNAcentral is "tRNA-Phe". It matches the Rfam family "tRNA". Rfam says of the family: Transfer RNA (tRNA) molecules are approximately 80 nucleotides in length. Their secondary structure includes four short double-helical elements and three loops (D, anti-codon, and T loops). Further hydrogen bonds mediate the characteristic L-shaped molecular structure. tRNAs have two regions of fundamental functional importance: the anti-codon, which is responsible for specific mRNA codon recognition, and the 3' end, to which the tRNAs corresponding amino acid is attached (by aminoacyl-tRNA synthetases). tRNAs cope with the degeneracy of the genetic code in two manners: having more than one tRNA (with a specific anti-codon) for a particular amino acid; and 'wobble' base-pairing, i.e. permitting non-standard base-pairing at the 3rd anti-codon position. The record is from RNAcentral. RNAcentral also lists the same sequence under 2 other names. Lineage: Bacteria; Pseudomonadati; Pseudomonadota.